RNAcentral lists this transfer RNA (73 nucleotides) under Danio rerio (zebrafish). RNAcentral describes it as "tRNA-Lys (TTT) (tRNA-Lys-TTT-14-1)". It matches the Rfam family "tRNA". Rfam says of the family: Transfer RNA (tRNA) molecules are approximately 80 nucleotides in length. Their secondary structure includes four short double-helical elements and three loops (D, anti-codon, and T loops). Lineage: Eukaryota; Metazoa; Chordata; Actinopteri; Cypriniformes; Danionidae. The record is from Rfam by way of RNAcentral.
GCCCGGCUAGCUCAGUCUGUAGAGCAUGAGACUUUUAAUCUCAGGGUCGUGGGUUCGAGCCCCACAUUGGGCG